Molecule: ribosomal RNA, 424 nt
Filed under: Fusobacteriota bacterium
Lineage: Bacteria; Fusobacteriati; Fusobacteriota
Description: Fusobacteria bacterium partial 16S ribosomal RNA
Rfam family: Bacterial small subunit ribosomal RNA
Source: RNAcentral
UGAGGAAUAUUGGUCAAUGGGCGAGAGCCUGAACCAGCCAAGUAGCGUGCAGGAUGACGGCUCUAUGGGUUGUAAACUGCUUUUAUGGGGGGAUAAAGUGCGUGACGUGUCAUGCAUUGCAGGUACCACAUGAAUAAGGACCGGCUAAUUCCGUGCCAGCAGCCGCGGUAAUACGGAAGGUCCGGGCGUUAUCCGGAUUUAUUGGGUUUAAAGGGAGCGUAGGCUGUCUAUUAAGCGUGUUGUGAAAUUUACCGGCUCAACCGGUGGCUUGCAGCGCGAACUGGUCGACUUGAGUAUGCAGGAAGUAGGCGGAAUUCAUGGUGUAGCGGUGAAAUGCUUAGAUAUCAUGACGAACACCAAUUGCGAAGGCACCUUACUGGAGCAUAACUGACGCUGAUGCUCGAAAGUGCGGGUAUCAAACAGG